This 474-nucleotide ribosomal RNA is filed under the name uncultured organism. RNAcentral describes it as "partial 16S ribosomal RNA". It matches the Rfam family "Bacterial small subunit ribosomal RNA", at positions 334 to 799 of the family's 1533-position model. The record is from RNAcentral.
CACUCCUACGGGAGGCAGCAGUGGGGAAUUUUGGACAAUGGGCGAAAGCCUGAUCCAGCAAUGCCGCGUGAGUGAAGAAGGCCUUCGGGUUGUAAAGCUCUUUUGUCAGGGAAGAAACGGUGAGAGCUAAUAUCUCUUGCUAAUGGCGGUACCUGAAGAAUAAGCACCGGCUAACUACGUGCCAGCAGCCGCGGUAAUACGUAGGGUGCAAGCGUUAAUCGGAAUUACUGGGCGUAAAGCGUGCGCAGGCGGUUUUGUAAGUCUGAUGUGAAAUCCCCGGGCUCAACCUGGGAAUUGAAUUGGAGACUGCAAGGCUAGAAUCUGGCAGAGGGGGGUAGAAUUCCACGUGUAGCAGUGAAAUGCGUAGAUAUGUGGAGGAACACCGAUGGCGAAGGCAGCCCCCUGGGUCAAGAAUGACGCUCAUGCACGAAAGCGUGGGGAGCAAACAGGAUUAGAAACCCCAGUAGUCCCAUG